CACUCCAUGUGCUCCAGGCACACAUCCACUGUCUUGGCAGCACCAGCAAUCCAGCCUGUUGGAUCCAGAGGACAAAUUUAAGUGGAACUCAGACAUCUGGCAACCACCAUUCCCAGGACCUCCCUACGAGCCUCCUGACCUGCACACAGUGGCCAACAUGUAUCUGACGUGUUUCUAAGACCUUUUCCAAGUGUGUCACCAACCUUGAUGCCCAGCUCGAUGUUCUCCCCUCCGUACACGUCCAUGCCGGGAUCCAGGAGCCCGAUCUCCCC
This is a long non-coding RNA of Corapipo altera (White-ruffed manakin), 272 nucleotides long. RefSeq lists it as uncharacterized. The record is from RefSeq and is a predicted model, not a curated record. The transcript is spliced from 3 exons. Lineage: Eukaryota; Metazoa; Chordata; Aves; Passeriformes; Pipridae.